AGGCUGCCCGUAAGUCUGCUCCCACAACUGGAGGAGUGAAGAAGCCUCACCGUUACUGCCCUGGAACUGUUGCUCUUCGUGAGAUCCGCAAGUACCAGAAGAGCACGGAGCUGCUCAUCAGGAAGCUUCCAUUCCAGAGGCUUGUUAGGGAGAUUGGCCAGGACUUCAAGACUGACCUCCGCUUCCAGAGCCAUGCGGUGC
Triticum dicoccoides is the source of this 201-nucleotide long non-coding RNA. RefSeq lists it as uncharacterized. NCBI's taxonomy places the organism in Eukaryota, Viridiplantae, Streptophyta, Magnoliopsida, Poales, Poaceae. The record is from RefSeq and is a predicted model, not a curated record. The transcript is spliced from 3 exons.